Long non-coding RNA from Ictalurus punctatus (channel catfish), 790 nucleotides. NCBI's taxonomy places the organism in Eukaryota, Metazoa, Chordata, Actinopteri, Siluriformes, Ictaluridae. The record is from Ensembl.
AUUUUUCCAGUAUACACUUAUUUGCACAUACUGUAUUCAUCUUUGCAUCAUAUUAUAUUUGAUCAUAUUAGACAUUUUAAUGUUGUUCAUAUUCAUUAUGUAGAUGUCCGUGGCAAUGGGGGAGUGGUCAAGCAUCCGCUGCGGACAGAGAGGACGUGGGACGAAUCAGCAGAGUUUGGUGUAGAAGAACUUGGUUGGACUGCACAUAGCCAACUUUGUGACGUGUGACAUCUAGCCCAGAAUUUUCCACUCCAGACUGCCAGAGGGCGCCAUCGCCUGAAAAUUAAGCCCACUUCUUACGUGGGUGGCUGUGGCUCAGGUGGAAGUGUUCUUGGGCAAGACACUGAACCCCAAGUUGUUCCCGAUGGCAAGUUAGCGCCUUUAAUGGCAGCUCUCCUACCAUUAGUGUGAAUGAGACCCAGUGUAAAGUGCUAUAUACAUAUUGACCAUUACUAUUCUGUUUUGAUACUUAAUCUGCUAUUUGGUAUUUUGACCCUGCCUGGUACACCAGCCCUGAUUGUAAACUGUUUGGGUAUUGUUCAUGUUGUUUGUGAUUUUUCUGGUUACAACCCUGCCUGUUUUGACUGUGCUUUGUCCAAAUAAAACUUGGAUGGAUCUCAGAGUCGUACAUGAGAACACUGUUAGGUUAUUUCUUACCUCCCAGACCAUAGACCUUCUUUCCAGGAUGCCCAAUUUGGCUGGAUUGCGAACUCUAGAAUGGUUCAAGGUUGUGUCAAGCUUCUUCCCUUUCAAAAUUAUUGAGGCCACUGUAGUCCUGGGAACACAAAAU